UUUAACCUACGGGAGGCAGCAGUGGGGAAUAUUGCACAAUGGGGGAAACCCUGAUGCAGCGACGCCGCGUGAAGGAUGAAGUAUUUCGGUAUGUAAACUUCUAUCAGCAGGGAAGAAAAUGACGGUACCUGACUAAGAAGCCCCGGCUAACUACGUGCCAGCAGCCGCGGUAAUACGGAGGAUGCGAGCGUUAUCCGGAUUUAUUGGGUUUAAAGGGUGCGCAGGCGGCGUGUCAAGUCAGCGGUAAAAUGUCGGGGCUCAACCCCGGCCGGCCGUUGAAACUGGCGUGCUCGAGUUGGAGAGAA
This 305-nucleotide ribosomal RNA is filed under the name uncultured bacterium. RNAcentral describes it as "bacterial SSU rRNA". It matches the Rfam family "Bacterial small subunit ribosomal RNA", at positions 331 to 656 of the family's 1533-position model. The record is from RNAcentral.